Molecule: ribosomal RNA, 336 nt
Filed under: uncultured bacterium
Lineage: Bacteria
Description: bacterial SSU rRNA
Rfam family: Bacterial small subunit ribosomal RNA
Source: RNAcentral
AGGGUUUGAUUCUGGCUCAGGACGAACGCUGGCGGCGUGCCUAAUACAUGCAAGUAGAACGCUGAAGACUUUAGCUUGCUAAAGUUGGAAGAGUUGCGAACGGGUGAGUAACGCGUAGGUAACCUGCCUACUAGCGGGGGAUAACUAUUGGAAACGAUAGCUAAUACCGCAUAACAGCAUUUAACCCAUGUUAGAUGCUUGAAAGGAGCAAUUGCUUCACUAGUAGAUGGACCUGCGUUGUAUUAGCUAGUUGGUGAGGUAACGGCUCACCAAGGCGACGAUACAUAGCCGACCUGAGAGGGUGAUCGGCCACACUGGGACUGAGACACGGCCCAG